CGCGGAGGGAGGAAGCGCAAGCCGCCCGGAGAAAGCAGGGAUGUUGCUCUUGGAGAAUGUGAAGACAGUUUGCUUCUUGACAAGCGAGCGAACGGGCGCCCAGAUUUUUGCAGCCUUUCCGAGUCUCCCCCGAGGGAGAGGCGGCAGAGAAAACGCCGGAUUUGGGAGCCACCAGGGAAGGAUCCGCGCAGGGGAGCCGCCCUCCUUGGCCCCAGACCCGCCUGCCUGGGGCCCCCUUUGCUCACUGUCAAUGUAUGGUCUGAAGCUCUGAGGAUGGUGCUGGGGACUGGGGUCGGGGGAAGCCUCUUGAAUAAUAACUGCAAAGAAGAAAGAGGCGAGAACGUCUCCCUAACCUUGAAGCAGAAAGGACUGUGUUCUUAAAGCUGUUGGCUGCAGUCACAGGGCCAGUUGCCCGCCUCUGUUC
This 424-nucleotide long non-coding RNA is filed under the name Homo sapiens (human). RNAcentral's name for it is "non-protein coding lnc-DENND1A-3:3". The record is from RNAcentral. Lineage: Eukaryota; Metazoa; Chordata; Mammalia; Primates; Hominidae.